This 4480-nucleotide long non-coding RNA is filed under the name Sus scrofa (pig). RNAcentral describes it as "lncRNA (ENSSSCG00050065142.1)". The record is from RNAcentral. Lineage: Eukaryota; Metazoa; Chordata; Mammalia; Artiodactyla; Suidae.
GGCUCAGAGGAGCGUGAGGCAACGCCACGAUUGCUUCUUGCUUUGAGGGUUUUGUUUCAGGGCCGUGCCGUCGGGGGUUCCUAGUGAAGCUUUCAGGUUAACCUGUCUUCGACCACCACGACCAUGUGGAGAGUUAAAACUGAAAACAUUCACACAGUUGGUUAUUCUUCCGGGGGUCUCAUCGGAGCUGGAGCUGCCAACCUACACCACAGCCACAGCAACGCGGGAUCUGAGCCGGGUCUGCGACCUACACCACAGCUCACGGUAACACAGGACCCUUAACCACUGAGCGAGGCCAGGGAUCGAACCCACAAACUCAUGGAUCCUAGUCGGAUUCGUUAACCACUGCACCACGACGGGAACUCCGCUCCGAAACAUUUUCGCCGGCGGUUUUAGAGCCAGUUUUGGUACACUGGUGUCUCGAUAGAGCAAAGAACGUCCCAUCGCACACAAGGAGACGUCUCGCCAGAGCAGCCGUCACACCGCCAGCGACAGCCUUCCACCCUUGUCUCGGACACUUUCCUUUCUUUGCAAAGAUGGAAGUUUCAAACAGAACCUAAGACAUGAGCGUUGGCACGGCCCUGAGCCCCCUCAUAGUUGGGUGGGUCCCUUGUGUCCUGGAAUGGGGGCUGAGUGCCAACCCCUUCCUGGGCCCUGGGCCUGGCCCGCCUCCCCACCCCCAGCUCUGAAACUCCGAGUCUGUACUGCGGGGUCCCAGCGGCACAGGGAGCGAGCAGACCCGGCAGCGGUGUGAAGCUGGCAGGCCCCGUUCGGCCCCAAGAGCAGCCACAUCUGCCUCCCUGCCCCCCGCUGGCCGCGCCGCCGGGCCCGGGUCCUUGUACCAGACGGAGGAGCACGUGGCCACUGCCAGCUGCUCCAAAGGAGGACACAAGCGAGGCAUUUUUCUCUGGGUUUCCAAACCCAGCGGAGGGCAUGUCACAGGGUGAAUAAAGGCGAAACCAUCCCGGGUGCUGUCACAGCCGUUUCCGCCAGAAGAAGUCAGGUGGGUGGCUGCGGGGCUGACGGAGGCCCAAGGAGGAGGAGCCGGGCUCAGCAGUCUUGAUGGCUGGGCCAGCCGGCCUGGCAGAGCCGCAGCCCUCGCUCCCGUAGUGAGGACGGGGGAGAGGGGCCCCAGGUGCUGAUUGCUGAGCAGCGGAACUGCAGGUGGGUUUGGGGUUUUCUCCUAUGUUGCAUUUGUAAAAUUUACAGUGAAAACAUACAGUUGACCCCUGAAGAACACGGGGGCUGUGGCACCGACCCUCUGAGCAGUGGAAAAUCCCAGUGUGACGAAUGUAUGUCAGCUGUCCCUAUCCUCAGAGCCAGCCAACCCCCGACCAUACUUGCGUAGCAUUUACUUCUGAAAAAUUCCGAUGCAAGUGGGCCGUGGGGUUCAAACCCACGGUUGUACAAGGCUCCAGUGCGCCUUCAUAACCAAAAGCCCUCGGGGUGUACAGCAGCUCCGAGCUUCGGUCUAGUCUCGGGUGGGUGGAGCCGCCACCACACCCUGUUGAGAUUAUUCACUGGGAGGCCACUGCAGGACUGGUCCCUCGGCCUCUGCACGGUGCUGCCAGCUUCCUGGGAGCAAGGCCCUGGCCUUGGAUGCAGAUGACAAGGAAACAGCAGAUUGGCCACCCCCAAGGCUCCCAGCCUCAUCCCUGUGCUGGUCUCCCUCCCAAGUCUUCUGCCUUUUUGUUCCUCUUUUUUUCCAUCCUGUGAAGGCUGUGUAAACGAAUCUCCUGAAAACAGUGGACAGUCUUAGAAAAAGUCCCCUGUGUCCAGCAGGAGUUGAGUAGCCUUCACCUGCAGUUCCGGUAACUUUUGAACCUACAGCCUCACACUCUUAACAAGUGCUCCAUCCACUUGGGCCUGAACUGAAGGUGUGGCCUCCUUGCCAUUGCCAUGGGCUGAAAGCUGGCCUUCAAAAAUGUGCUGUUGCAGCAGCAGAGAGAUAAGUGCGUGAAGCCAGAAUUGGAGUUUUCAUGAGACUAUUGGAAGCGUAGGAAAUCAUACUUGCUUCAGAUUACGUCAGGGCUGAAGAAUGAAAAAUACACCUAUGAUAAGACUUGUUUGAGAAAACUGUGGGGCCCUCUCUGCAUGACACUGCCUGCCCCUACCUAACUAACGGUAGUGUCUCCUGGGACCUUUUGUUGGGUGUGUGGGUGGGCUCCCCCCACCUGUCCCCCAGGCAGUAGCAGCAGCAGUUAGGAGGCUGGAGCAAGGGCCCUGCAGUGACAGGAGCUGCAGGUGUGGCUUUGACCCUGUGCACCUGCCAGGUUGGGGCCCUGGACUACCCACUGCUCAGGUCCCAGUCCUGCUGGGACUCUGGCACUUGAGCCAAAGUGUCUUGAGCCAGGGGCACUGGGGCACAUGCAUGGUACACACUGCCCCUCGUGGUUUUGUAUUCGUGUCUCAGAAUUGUUGCCUUUGUGUUGACUCUCACCUCCAUCCGGUGGAGUCUUGAAAGUUGAGGUUGUGACAAAGUCACACCUUGCCAGACUCUGUCUUGUCCAAGAAAAUUUUCUUCGAGGGCAAAAUCAAUACUUUGUUUUUAAAGGAGUUAGAAUUCUUAACUCAAGUCCUUAUUUUAUUUUUUUUCUUCACAGAAAUGGAAAAAAAAAAAUGAACCUCUUAUUUAUAAAAGUGCACUUACUCUUUGCUCAAAACUUAAACACUCAUUUCUAUUCUUAAAACCUAGAAAAUGGCUCAGGGCCUUAGAAAUGAGAUUGGUUGCCUGCUGAAGGUCCCGGGGGGGCACAGGCCCCUCCCUGGCUGUGGGCCCUUGGACAGGGUGGAGCUGGCAAAGGUUUUUAGGGGCCGCUGUCCCAGAAUGAGUUUUUGGCUUAAAACUGACAGCUUCAGCAGGAAGGCUUUGUGCUGGGAUGUGACCAGAGUGAGGACUGAGCGGGGCGCUGGGGGGCACUGACGGCAGCUUGCCAAGUGCAGGGACACUCAGCUCUGGGUCCCGCUCCUGGGCGUCUCUCCCUCGCCCCCUUGAAGAGAAGGGUGGGCCCUGGCAGGGUCGCCACGCCCCAGACCUGCAGGCCGGCUCUGCCUGAGUGUUCAACGGGUCGAGUGGCCUGUUCGCUGUGGUGUUUGUGGUCAGCCUGCCUGUUUAAAAGAACAUGACAAGCCCGCAGUGGCACUUUAUGGCAUUUGUAUUUGGUGCUAGUUGGAGCGUCAAGUCUUUUCUCAGAAAAAGCAAGGCUUCCCACGGCCACAGCGAGGACUGGCCCUGCUCCCCGGGGCCCAGGACACCUGGUCACAGCUGCUUCCCCGGCAGGUGGCCCUGACUUCGCUCUUCCUGUUUGCGGUUCAACAGCUGCUGGGAGUGAUGUUGGUACUUCUGGUACUUCUGCUGCUGGUACUUCUGUUUUGAGGGCUGAUUUUUAAUUGGCACCUGCCGCACCCAAGGUGCUGGGCUGGACAUUUCCAUCGUCGGCGAAGGGCGUCCUGAAUAGCACUUUGGCGGAGGGACCGUGUUAGUGCACUGAGUGCAGAGCGGAUUGGAGCCGGGCGUCUGAGGCGCCGGGGCCUCGGGCUCCCGCUGCCGGGCUGUCCUCUGGGUGAGGUCAGGGUGCGCGCCAGGCGCCGGCUCCCGCAGGAGGCCUCUUGCCAGCCAGGUCUGCUGCCCUCGGGAGCUCUGAUGGGGUCAGUGCGCCGGACUGGCUCCCAUCCAGGGAGGCAGUGGUCUUCUGUCUGGCCGUCACACCGGACCCCGGUUCCAGGGUUCUGGCCGUCACAUCACGGGUCAGUCCUGCCUCCCGUUUGUGCUCCUGGUUUUCUCCAGGUGGUGUUCGUCCAGGAACAUUUCUUGUCCUCAUUUAGCCGUUGGUCAGGCUUUCAGGCCAUCAGGUCUUCCAAGUCUGAGCGCUCCUGGGGGCCGGUCAGGAGGGGCCCCACGGCUCUGAGACCAGAGCUCCUCAUCUGGAAGCCCAGCUGCCCGGACGCGAAACAAGAAACAAGGGGAUAGGCUCAGGGCUCAGGGCAGCAGCUCUGACCGCAGGAGGGUCACCUGACCUUGCACGGCCCCUCUGCUGGGACGUCCAUCCUCUGCAGAGCAGCCACCUGGAGAGCGGGGACAAGCGCAGGGCCCGUGAGGAGGAAGGUGUGAGCUGGGAGGCUCUCUUGGUUAAGGCAGCGCUGUUGCUGGGCAUCCGUUUGCUCCCCUCCACGUGGCCUUCUCCCCAGAGUGCAGAGUUGUUCUGGAGAAACCAGAUAGGAAUUUGGUUGACGGCAGAAACCGCCCCUUCUUCAGAUAAACAGGCAGCUUUCUGCACAGAGACUGUGCCCCACGUGCGGCUCCAUCCCUGUGCGGCCCGGGAAGGGGCCAUCUGCUGGGCGAGGGGCCCCGGGCCGGGCUCCAGGAUUCUCCCCUCCAUCCCCUGGUCCCUGCAGAGGGACCUUUCACCUCUCACUUUUUGGUGAAGAGGCCUCACUGCUAAUUAGAAUACGUGUACAUUUCCUGCUAAUUUCCUCUUUG